GACAGAGGGGGCAAGCGUUGCUCGGAAUUACUGGGCGUAAAGCGUGCGCAGGCGGCUUUGCAAGACAGAUGUGAAAUCCCCGGGCUCAACCUGGGAACUGCAUUUGUGACUGCAUGGCUGGAGUGCGGCAGAGGGGGAUGGAAUUCCGCGUGUAGCAGUGAAAUGCGUAGAUAUGCGGAGGAACACCGAUGGCGAAGGCAAUCCCCUGGGCCUGCACUGACGCUCAUGCACGAAAGCGUGGGGAGCAAACAGG
Molecule: ribosomal RNA, 253 nt
Filed under: uncultured bacterium
Lineage: Bacteria
Description: partial 16S ribosomal RNA
Rfam family: Bacterial small subunit ribosomal RNA
Source: RNAcentral